RNAcentral lists this ribosomal RNA (400 nucleotides) under uncultured bacterium. Its description in RNAcentral is "bacterial SSU rRNA". It matches the Rfam family "Bacterial small subunit ribosomal RNA", at positions 356 to 773 of the family's 1533-position model. The record is from RNAcentral.
GGGGAAUAUUGGACAAUGGGCGAAAGCCUGAUCCAGCCAUGCCGCGUGAGUGAUGAAGGCCUUAGGGUUGUAAAGCUCUUUUGUCCGGGAAGAUAAUGACUGUACCGGAAGAAUAAGCCCCGGCUAACUUCGUGCCAGCAGCCGCGGUAAUACGAAGGGGGCUAGCGUUGCUCGGAAUCACUGGGCGUAAAGGGCGCGUAGGCGGACUUUUAAGUCGGAGGUGAAAGCCCAGGGCUCAACCCUGGAAUUGCCUUCGAUACUGGGAGUCUUGAGUUCGGAAGAGGUUGGUGGAACUGCGAGUGUAGAGGUGAAAUUCGUAGAUAUUCGGAAGAACACCAGUGGCGAAGGCGACUAACUGGACAUGUAUUGACGCUGAGGUGCGAAAGCGUGGGGAGCAAAC